GGCAGGGGUCUGGUGGCCCAGACGGCCUUCAAAGCCGCGAGGGCGUCGCAGUCCGACGCUUGGAAGGUUCGAUUCCUUCGCCG
Molecule: transfer RNA, 83 nt
Filed under: Solirubrobacterales bacterium
Lineage: Bacteria; Bacillati; Actinomycetota; Thermoleophilia; Solirubrobacterales
Description: tRNA-Sec
Rfam family: Selenocysteine transfer RNA
Source: RNAcentral